GAUGAACGCUGGCGGCGUGCCUAAUACAUGCAAGUCGAGCGAACAGACGAGGAGCUUGCUCCUCUGACGUUAGCGGCGGACGGGUGAGUAACACGUGGAUAACCUACCUAUAAGACUGGGAUAACUUCGGGAAACCGGAGCUAAUACCGGAUAAUAUAUUGAACCGCAUGGUUCAAUAGUGAAAGACGGUUUUGCUGUCACUUAUAGAUGGAUCCGCGCCGCAUUAGCUAGUUGGUAAGGUAACGGCUUACCAAGGCAACGAUGCGUAGCCGACCUGAGAGGGUGAUCGGCCACACUGGAACUGAGACACGGUCCAGACUCCUAAGGGAGGCAGCAGUAGGGAAUCUUCCGCAAUGGGCGAAAGCUUGACGGAGCAACGCCGCGUGAGUGAUGAAGGUCUUCGGAUCGUAAAACUCUGUUAUUAGGGAAGAACAAAUGUGUAAGUAACUAUGAACGUCUUGACGGUACCUAAUCAGAAAGCCACGGCUAACUACGUG
RNAcentral lists this ribosomal RNA (497 nucleotides) under uncultured bacterium. Its description in RNAcentral is "partial 16S ribosomal RNA". It matches the Rfam family "Bacterial small subunit ribosomal RNA", at positions 28 to 507 of the family's 1533-position model. The record is from RNAcentral.